GUUUCUGUACUAUAGCGGUCAUCACAUGCGCUUUACACGCUCAAGGUCUGCAGUUCGGUCCUGGACAGAAGCA
Non-coding RNA from Paramuricea clavata, 73 nucleotides. The record is from the annotation of a GenBank genome assembly. Lineage: Eukaryota; Metazoa; Cnidaria; Anthozoa; Malacalcyonacea; Plexauridae.